CGGGUGGAGUACCGACCUAAUCCGCCACCGACCAGCACCGUCUAGCAGCGCCGCCGUCCGCUCCCUCCCGAUGCGUCCUCGCGCCCCUGUUGGCACACCACCCCGUGAGGGGCGGGCACCAGGGGCGCAGGCUCGAGAGUAACGGAGGCGACGCCACAGAUGCAGUCCUCCUCGGUCCCCAGGCAAGUAUCCCUCCCAGCCGGAGUCACCGAGCGAAGCCCCCGAAGAGAAGACGCUCAGCGACCGUUAACCCGGCCAAGGGAGUCCACACCGCCUGCGAAGGAACCGGUCGUGGCUCUCGACAAACCGGAGCAAGUGCACCCGUCUCAGCCACCGAUUCGAAGCGACCCCGUGUCAGGGACCCCCGUGAGGGAGCCCCUAACGGGGAGGCGCGGUGACGAGAAGAACGGGCUGAAUGCCCCGGGGACGAGCGACCUGG
This 439-nucleotide ribosomal RNA is filed under the name Laevicardium elenense. Its description in RNAcentral is "bacterial LSU rRNA". Lineage: Eukaryota; Metazoa; Mollusca; Bivalvia; Cardiida; Cardiidae. The record is from RNAcentral.